GGAAACAGGUGCUAAUACCGUAUAACACUAUUUUCCGCAUGGAAGAAAGUUGAAAGGCGCUUUUGCGUCACUGAUGGAUGGACCCGCGGUGCAUUAGCUAGUUGGUGAGGUAACGGCUCACCAAGGCCACGAUGCAUAGCCGACCUGAGAGGGUGAUCGGCCACACUGAGACUGAGACACGGCCCAGACUCCUACGGGAGGCAGCAGUAGGGAAUCUUCGGCAAUGGACGAAAGUCUGACCGAGCAACGCCGCGUGAGUGAAGAAGGUUUUCGGAUCGUAAAACUCUGUUGUUAGAGAAGAACAAGGAUGAGAGUAGAACGUUCAUCCCUUGACGGUAUCUAACCAGAAAGCCACGGCUAACUACGUGCCAGCAGCCGCGGUAAUACGUAGGUGGCAAGCGUUGUCCGGAUUUAUUGGGCGUAAAGCGAGCGCAGGCGGUUUCUUAAGUCUGAUGUGAAAGCCCCCGGCUCAACCGGGGAGGGUCAUUGGAAACUGGGAGACUUGAGUGCAGAAGAGGAGAGUGGAAUUCCAUGUGUAGCGGUGAAAUGCGUAGAUAUAUGGAGGAACACCAGUGGCGAAGGCGGCUCUCUGGUCUGUAACUGACGCUGAGGCUCGAAAGCGUGGGGAGCGAACAGGAUUAGAUACCCUGGUAGUCCACGCCGUAAACGAU
Molecule: ribosomal RNA, 671 nt
Filed under: uncultured bacterium
Lineage: Bacteria
Description: bacterial SSU rRNA
Rfam family: Bacterial small subunit ribosomal RNA
Source: RNAcentral